UUAGUUGACACGCAAUAAUUUUUUUAUUUAUUUCCUCUUCUGGGAAACAUGGUACACGUAAAUAGAUAAAGAAAAUCUCUUGUAAAUCUCAAGAGAUCAUAUCAAUUGAACAUAAACGAACUAACACUCGCACGAUUGAUAGGUAAAGCAAUACCCAUAUUUUUAUUCAGUUAAACACAACAGAAAAUAAUAACAUUUUAAUUAACCAGUGCGGUCGGCAUUUCUCCCAUAUUGAGGGACAACAAGAAAAUCAAGAUCCUCGUUCGCAAUGCCAUCGUCUGAAAUGCUGAGAAGAGGAAAUAGUGCAACGACCCCCUCCGACCAACUUUUAUCUCCUGAAAAUUUAUAAUAGAAAACUUUGUCGUAAGUAUACAUUUCAAAAUUAUAAGAAUCGUAAUUCAACUGAAAAUGGCCUAAAAACCUGCGCAAGUAGUUUCCAUAUUCUUCAAAUCGAAAAGAUCUCUGCUUCGGUAGUCAAAACUCAAGAAGUAAUCAAGUUGCUUCUGCGAGUUUUCGCUAUUUGUGAAAUACACAUAUAUGGUCUAUGUAUAUAUAGACUGAAGUAGUCGACAAUAGGGCCAUGGUGGGUGAUUGGGGCGCAUUUAAUUAUUUACAAGACGAACUAACAGCAUUACAUAAUAUCGUCUUUUCUUUGAAAAUGCUCUGUUGUUUUCUGAAACAUUUUUUAAUGGCUCAGAAGCAUCUCAUGGCAGAUAAUUGAAGAUCUGUAGUCGGUGCUGGACUCGACAAACAUAUUCCUUUAAUUUGCUGGCAAUAUAUAUAGUCUAUCAGCCAUAAUUCAUAAUAUGUAAAUAUAUAAAUUCAAGCAGAUGCCAGAUCAACGGCUGAUGCUUAGAUUAGUAGAAAACACGAGGGAGCCAGCUAAGACCAUGGACAGCUAACAGAAAUCGUUCAAGGUCAGCAUCAAAAUUAAGGUUACAGUUAGAAUUGAUACCUUUUUAUAUUAAUUAAUACGGAAAUACAAUCUCUUUCGAUAUCACUUCACUUGAUUCUCGCAAUCCAAAGUCAAAUUUCAUAAUAUAUUUGAUGUUAUCAAAUUUCUAAUUUAUGACAUUGUCACUGUUGGCGACUUGAAUUUAUAUAUUUAUUAUAUAUAUUAUGUUGUACACAUAUUUGUCCAAAAUUGGACCCAAUGGCAUAAACGAAUGGGCAGCGGUGAUACCACCUUCACCGCUGCUAGAAAGCAGCCAAAAACGGCCACACGAAGCUGAGGUUUCUAGCGCAAAAGGUCACCACAAUUGGCGCGAACUGCUGGAUUUCAAACCCGGUACCACCAGGAAUUUUCUCCUCACGAUAGUGGCCGGCGAGCCUCAAGCUCCUUGUUCUCGAUCUUGUAAUGCGUAUUUCAGCGUCAUACUCGUAGGCCUCAAUUUUAUAAUACGAACCACAGCCUCAUGCUCAUAGGGCUCAUUUAUAUGUAAUACAUAUCUCGAUCUCUUGUGCCCAUAUUUUUAUCUUGCUUUAAUCAAAACAUCAAUAAAAACUACUUAACACACCCAAAUUUUUGAAAAAAAAAAUAGGACAUAUACACUUACUGGUCGAGAAAAAUCAGUUUUUAAAUUUUUUUAAAAACUUAGGACCGAUCUCAUACAAUACAUAGGAAUUCAUAAUCUAGAAAAUCAUACAUUGACAAUCCAUUUUGGUUUUUUCGCUGAAUUAAUCUAGCCUCCUAUAUCACAAUCCGUCACCACCACUUAUGUUAGAUCAUGAUCCGUCACCACCAAUCUUGUUAGAUCACGAUCCGUCACCAAUGAUCCUCCAGGUUGUGACUCAAGUUUGAUCUGCACUUGACGUGUAGGCGCCUUAAUUAGGCCUGUAAUUAAACUAGCCCAAUGAUUUAAUUUCAAAUCCACUCCACUAAAAUAUUGGAAUUGACCUCCAUAAUUGUAUACUAUCUGGGAUAGUAUUUUUGAAUAAUAAUUCGACCCAUGCCACAUUGAUUUCUUUACUGCAUAAUCCUUUGUACCACAUCGUUAAUUAAAUCGAUAUCUCAGCUGUACAAUCAAUUUAAUUACAUCUUGUUCCUUCAUACUUACUGGUUUUCUCUAAUGAUCAUUUUCAACAUACUAAAUAUGUUGACACACUCUGGCCAGAGAAUUUAUGAUCAAGUGCCGAAAACUCAUUAAGUGAUGUGUUGUACAAAUUCAAUAUUGUUAAUCUAUAACUCUAAUACUCAUAAUUGCUCUCACUAAGAUACCGAGUAAUCUUGACUACAAGUGUGUAUCUUGCCCAUUGGUAACUCAAAUGGAAUAACAAUUACAAUCAUGAAAUUAUAACUAACUCAAGAUUAAGAUUACAGUAAAAUCAAUGCCUAUGAGAUUUAAUAAGUCUGACAGUUAUUACAAAGUUAAUUAAAUCUAAUAUGUGAUCUUGUUCAAUGUAGUCGUACUACAUCAAUAAAUUCAUAGAUGAUUAAGACAAAUCAUUCAAUGAAUUUAUUACAGUCUAUACCUAAAUAAAGUGCUCAACUUUAUUUAUUAACUGUGAACUAAAUUUAUUUAAUCAUAAGAUAACUUAUAUUUAUGUCUUCUGUGAAUCCACAUGGUGAUUAAAUAAAUAUAUAUAAUAUGAUUAAAUGGACUUUACUCAAAAUAUUAAUGCAAUUAAGAUACUUGAAUAAAAUACCUCAUUUAUUUUAUUAAUCAGAAAAAUUAUUUAUUACAAUUAAAUAAAUACAUAUACUUUUAAAGAGCAUAUUUCCCAACACUUACAACCAUGGUCAAGUCAAGAUAUGUAAAUAAAUUCUUUAACUCAAUUUUAUUUAUAAUUAGUUUUCAUUUAAUUUAACACAAAUGUUCGAUAUUGGGAACGUGCACCAAAAAAACACUUGCGAUUUACAAAGAACGUGAUGGCAAGAAAAGAAGAAUAACGAAUAAGAAGUGGAAUAGGUUUAAGACGUCAACUUUUUUUAGUUAAUUUUUAAAAUCAGGAAAAGAAUGCUAUUUUUACUGUACUUUUAUUUUAUUUUUUGAAAAAUUAAAAGGGUCACACGAUUCUAGUGAAAAGCUUUCAAAAUAUUGAUUUUCUUCUCGCUCAAUUAAGGUACGGUUUGAUUUUUUGAAAAAAAAGAAGAAUAAAACAUGUCAAUUAGACAUUUCCAUUUAGAUUUAUUUAGACUUUAAUUAAAUUCAAAUCUAUUCAGAUAUCAGACAAAAAAAUAAAUGCAACCAAAGUAUUGUUUAAGAUACUAUAAAUUUUUAUUUUUUUAUGGUUUAAGGUGUAGGGAAAAUAUACUCUUUAAAAGCAUAUGUGUUUAUUUAAUUUUAAUAAAUAAUUUUUCUGAUUAAUAAAAUAAAUGAGGUAUUUUAUUCAAGUAUCUUAAUUGCAUUAAUAUUUUGAGUAAAGUUCAUUUAAUCAUAUUAUAUGUAUUUAUGUGAUCACCAUAUGGAUUCACAGAAGACAUAAAUGCAAGUUAUCUUCUGAUUGAAUAAAUUAAGUUUACAGUUAAUAAAUAAAGUUGGGCACUUUAUUUAGGUAUAGACUGUAAUAAAUUUAUUGAAUGAUUUGUCUUAAUCAUGUAUGAAUUUAUUGAUGUAGUACGACUACAUUGAACAUGACCACAUAUGAGAUUUAAUUAACUUUGUAAUAACUGUAAGACUUAUUAAAACUCAUGCAUUGAUUUUACUGUAAUCUUAAUCUUGAGUUAGUCAUGAUUUCAUGAUUGUAAUUGUUAUUCCAUUUGAGUUACCAAUAGGCACGACAAACACUUAUAGUCAAGAUUAUCCGGUAUCUUAGUGGGAGCAGUUAUGAGUAUUGUAAUUAUAGAUUAACAAUAUUGAAUUUGUACAACACAUCUCUUGAUGGGUUUUCGGCACUUGAUCAUAGAAUUCUCUGGUCAGAGUGUGUCAACAUAUUUAGUAUGUUGAAAAUGAUCAUUAGAGAAAACCAGUAAGUAUCAAGGAACAAAAUGUAAUUAAAUUGAUUGGACAGUUGAGAUAUCGAUUUAAUUAAUGAUGUGGUACAAAGGAUUAUAUAGUAAAGAAAUCAAUGUGGCAUGGGUCAAAUUAUUAUUCGAAAACAUUGUCCCAGAUAGCAUACAAUUGUGGAGGUCAAUUCCAAUCUUUUAGUGGAGUAGAUUUGGAAUUAAAUAAUUGGGCUAGUUUAAUUACAUGCAUAAUUAUUGUAGCCACUAUUGUAUGUACCCAUAUAAUCCUCGGGUUAGCUCAUUUAAUUGACUGCACCGCUAAUGGAUUAAUAAGCAAGAUAACUAGCUAUUUGAGUUAAAAGCCUAAAUGUAUUAUUUAGUGGGAGAGUCCAUUUAAUGUGUUUGUGUGUAAGGAGCCUUGUGUUAUUUUACAAGGUGGGCCCCUAUAACACGAGAACAAGUAACGCCACUUUGGUUUUAUUGUUUUUUAAUUUAAAUCAAAUAAUUUAAAUCAAAUGUGAUUUAAUAGAAUUAAAAAAAUUAAAAAAUAUGGAGUCUAGGGUUUCCACCAAAUAGAAAUAUAAAAGGGCUUGUUUUCUCUAAAAAAGAAGAUAGUAGUCACAUUAUACAGAUCAGAGAAAAAUAUUUUUCUCUUUCUAAUUUUGAGAGGAACAUUUUCUCUUGCUUGUGGCUUUUAGUUGUGAUAAAGGCGCCCACACGUCAAGUGCAGAUCAAACUUGAGUCAUAACCUGAAAGAUCAUUGGUGAUGGAUCGUGAUCUAACAAGAUUGGUGGUGACGGAUCGUGAUCUAACAUGAGUAGUGGUGAUGGAUCGUGAUCUGGAAGCCUAGAUUAAUUCAGUGAAAAAGCCAAAUCAGAUUGUCAAGACAUGAUUUUCUAGAUUACGAAUUCCUAUGUAUUGUAUGAGAUCAGUCCUAAAAAUUUUUUAUAAAAUAUUUAAAAAAACUGAUUUUUCUCCAACAUAAGGCAUGAGAAAUACAUGUUAAACAAUGGGUCUGUUAUAAUAGGUGUUCGAAACAAUUAUGCUAUAUUACCUCAUAAUAAAUUGUCUUUAACCGUAAUUCACAUAACGAAAAUCUUUAUAAUAAAUUGUUUUGUUAAGAGCGCAGCUAUUUGAACAAAAAAAAAAAAAAACUCUUAACAAUGAUAAUUUUACAAUAAUUUUUAUUAUCAAAUUAUCCAUUAUGACAAUUACCAUUAUGGACCAAAAAAAGAAAACGCCGUAGUUGCUAGGAAGUGAAUGAAAAUUCUGCUUAAACUAAGUUUUGAAGAUACAAAAUCAAAUACCAAAAGCAAACAAUAGAAAGGAAAAAUGAGAAUCUCUAAGGCUUUAAGAAAAAUAGAAUCGUCGAUAUGUAUAACUAAAAAUUAAUUAAGCUGAUUUGAACUCUAUGGCAUUUAUGGAGAUGAAUGAAAAAAGCAAGAAGAAUGUUUUGCGCCUUGCAAGUACGAUAAAAAAUUAUAAAGACUUUCAUGAAGGCCAGUGGAUGAAAAAGAAAUCGAUAAUUUCAUUGUAAUUUAAUAUUAGCAAGGUUGAUCAGAGUUAGACCCCUUAUGUUGUAACCAUUUGGUAUGAUAUAAAAGGGUGUGAGAAAAGAAAAAAACAGUGAAUGAAGAAGAAGAAAACAAGAAGAAGAAGAAGAAGAAGAAAAUUUAUCGGGUAAUUUAAUAUCAGGAUUAUUUUUGGAUUUUUGAAAGAUUUAUAGAGUAAUUUUUUUAUUUUUAAAUUUACAUUGCGUGUCUGUUGAGAAAAUGGGUGUGGAGAGUGAAUUUUUGGGAUCAAAUAGUUAGACCUUUUUAUUAAAAGUUUGAAAAUUUGAUUUCAAACAGUUCAAUGUCAGAUGAAUAACCAUCAUUUAACAAUAUUGCUAUUUUAAAAGGCUCAAGCUCUAAAUUUAUAUUGUAUAUUGAAUAAAUUAUGACCCAGGGAUCACUUGCUAACUCCAAGAAUCAGCUAAUGAAUAUGUGAAAUUUAUUUCAGAAAAUUAUCCAACAAGAGAGAGCAUAAUUUAGUUGACACACAAUAAUUUUUUUUUUUUAUGUCCUCUUCUGGGAAACAUGGUACACGUAAAUAGACAAAGAAAAUCUUUUGUAUAUCUCAAGAGAUCAUAUUAAUUGAACAUAAACGAACUAACACUCGCUUGAUUGAUAGGUAAAGCAGUACCCAUAUUUUUAUUUAAUUAAACACAACAGAAAAUAAUAACAUUUUAAUUAACCAGUGCGGUCGGCAUUUCUCCCAUAUUGAGGGACAACAAGAAAAUCAAGAUCCUCAUUCGCAAUGCCACCAUCUGAAAUGCUGAGAAGAGGAAAUAGUGCAACGACCCCCUCCGACCAACUGUUAUCUCCUGAAAAUUUAUAAUAGAAAACUUAGUCGUAAGUAACAUUUCAAAAUUAUAAGAAUCGUAAUUCAACUGAAAAUGGCCUAAAAACCUGCGCAAGUAGUUUCCAUAUUCUUCAAAUCGAAAAGAUCUCUGCUUCGGUAGUCAAAACUUAAGAAGUAAUCAAGUUGCUUCUGCGAGUUUUUG
Molecule: long non-coding RNA, 6431 nt
Filed under: Citrus maxima (pomelo)
Lineage: Eukaryota; Viridiplantae; Streptophyta; Magnoliopsida; Sapindales; Rutaceae
Description: long non-coding RNA (CMAX_LNC001380)
Source: RNAcentral